RNAcentral lists this ribosomal RNA (897 nucleotides) under uncultured bacterium. RNAcentral describes it as "bacterial SSU rRNA". It matches the Rfam family "Bacterial small subunit ribosomal RNA", at positions 505 to 1399 of the family's 1533-position model. The record is from RNAcentral.
GUGUCAGCAGCCGCGCGGUAAUACGGAGGGUGCAAGCGUUAAUCGGAAUUACUGGGCGUAAAGCGUGCGUAGGCGGUUUAUUAAGUCAGAUGUGAAAGCCCCGGGCUUAACCUGGGAACUGCAUUUGAAACUGGUAAACUAGAGUAUGGUAGAGGAAAGUGGAAUUUCUGGUGUAGCGGUGAAAUGCGUAGAUAUCAGAAGGAACAUCAAUGGCGAAGGCAGCUUUCUGGACCAAUACUGACGCUGAGGUACGAAAGCGUGGGUAGCAAACAGGAUUAGAUACCCUGGUAGUCCACGCCGUAAACGAUGAUAACUAGCCGUUGGGGGGAUUUACCCUUUAGUGGCGAAGCUAACGCGUUAAGUUAUCCGCCUGGGGAGUACGGCCGCAAGGUUAAAACUCAAAGGAAUUGACGGGGACCCGCACAAGCGGUGGAGCAUGUGGUUUAAUUCGAUGCAACGCGAAGAACCUUACCUGGUCUUGACAUCCUGCGAACUUUCUAGAAAUAGAUUGGUGCCUUCGGGAACGCAGUGACAGGUGCUGCAUGGCUGUCGUCAGCUCGUGUCGUGAGAUGUUGGGUUAAGUCCCGUAACGAGCGCAACCCCUAUCCUUAUUUGCCAGCACAUUAUGGUGGGAACUAUAAGGAGACUGCCGGUGAUAAACCGGAGGAAGGCGGGGACGACGUCAAGUCAUCAUGGCCCUUACGACCAGGGCUACACACGUGCUACAAUGGGAUGGACAAAGAGUCGCGAAGCCGCGAGGUGUAGCUAAUCUCAUAAACCUUCUCGUAGUCCGGAUUGGAGUCUGCAACUCGACUCCAUGAAGUCGGAAUCGCUAGUAAUCGUAGAUCAGAAUGCUACGGUGAAUACGUUCCCGGGUCUUGCACACACCGCCCGUCA